Molecule: ribosomal RNA, 254 nt
Filed under: uncultured bacterium
Lineage: Bacteria
Description: partial 16S ribosomal RNA
Rfam family: Bacterial small subunit ribosomal RNA
Source: RNAcentral
UACGUAGGGGGCAAGCGUUGUCCGGAUUCAUUGGGCGUAAAGAGCUCGUAGGCGGCUUGGCAAGUCGGGUGUGAAACCUCCAGGCUCAACCUGGAGACGCCACCCGAUACUGCCAUGGCUAGAGUCCGGUAGGGGACCACGGAAUUCCUGGUGUAGCGGUGAAAUGCGCAGAUAUCAGGAGGAACACCGGUGGCGAAGGCGGCAUCCUGGACCAAUACUGACGCUGAGGAGCGAAAGCCAGGGGAGCAAACGGG